This 643-nucleotide ribosomal RNA is filed under the name uncultured bacterium. RNAcentral describes it as "bacterial SSU rRNA". The stretch from base 1 to 538 matches the Rfam family "Bacterial small subunit ribosomal RNA", at positions 338 to 873 of the family's 1533-position model. The record is from RNAcentral.
CCUACGGGAGGCAGCAGUAAGGAAUAUUGGUCAAUGGGCGCAAGCCUGAACCAGCCAUGCCGCGUGCAGGAUGACGGCCCUCUGGGUUGUAAACUGCUUUUAUACGGGAAGAACAGCAUCUACGUGUAGGUGUUUGACGGUACUGUAAGAAUAAGGACCGGCUAACUUCGUGCCAGCAGCCGCGGUAAUACGAAGGGUCCAAGCGUUAUCCGGAUUUAUUGGGUUUAAAGGGUGCGUAGGCGGCUUUUUAAGUCAGUGGUGAAAGCCUGAUGCUCAACAUCAGAACUGCCAUUGAUACUGAAGAGCUUGAGUACAGUUGAGGUUGGCGGAAUGUGUCAUGUAGCGGUGAAAUGCUUAGAUAUGACACAGAACACCGAUUGCGAAGGCAGCUAGCUAAGCUGUUACUGACGCUGAUGCACGAAAGCGUGGGGAGCAAACAGGAUUAGAUACCCUGGUAGUCCACGCCCUAAACGUUGAUAACUCGUUGUUAGCGAUAUACUGUUAGCGACCAAGCGAAAGCAUUUAAGUUAUCCUAACCGUCGGUAGUUACGGUUCGUCGAGAGUUAGUUAACGUUACAAUAGAAGUUAGUUACGGCGUUGAGGACGUUAGCCGACGGACGACCGACCGAGGGGAGGUUAGGAG